This 31-nucleotide ribosomal RNA is filed under the name Coprinus comatus. RNAcentral describes it as "partial 18S ribosomal RNA". Lineage: Eukaryota; Fungi; Basidiomycota; Agaricomycetes; Agaricales; Agaricaceae. The record is from RNAcentral.
GAUCAUUAUUGAAUAAACAUGGUUGGGUUGU